This 306-nucleotide ribosomal RNA is filed under the name uncultured Fusarium. RNAcentral describes it as "partial large subunit ribosomal RNA". It matches the Rfam family "Eukaryotic large subunit ribosomal RNA", at positions 40 to 350 of the family's 3401-position model. Lineage: Eukaryota; Fungi; Ascomycota; Sordariomycetes; Hypocreales; Nectriaceae. The record is from RNAcentral.
AUAUCAAUAAGCGGAGGAAAAGAAACCAACAGGGAUUGCCUCAGUAACGGCGAGUGAAGCGGCAACAGCUCAAAUUUGAAAUCUGGCCCUAGGCCCGAGUUGUAAUUUGCAGAGGAUGUUUCUGGCGAGGUGCCUUCCGAGUUCCCUGGAACGGGACGCCAUAGAGGGUGAGAGCCCCGUACGGUUGGUCGCUAAGCCUCUGUGAAACUCCUUCGACGAGUCGAGUAGUUUGGGAAUGCUGCUCUAAAUGGGAGGUAUACGUCUUCUAAAGCUAAAUACCGGCCAGAGACCGAUAGCGCACAAGUA